RNAcentral lists this ribosomal RNA (468 nucleotides) under uncultured bacterium. RNAcentral's name for it is "partial 16S ribosomal RNA". It matches the Rfam family "Bacterial small subunit ribosomal RNA", at positions 28 to 507 of the family's 1533-position model. The record is from RNAcentral.
GACGAACGCUGGCGGCGUGCUUAACACAUGCAAGUCGAACGGAAAGGCUCCAGCUUGCUGGAGUACUCGAGUGGCGAACGGGUGAGUAACACGUGGGUAAUCUGCCCUGCACUCUGGGAUAAGCCUGGGAAACUGGGUCUAAUACUGGAUAUGACCUUUCUCCUUAUGGGGUUUGGUGGAAAGUUUUUCGGUGUAGGAUGAGCCCGCGGCCUAUCAGCUUGUUGGUGGGGUGAUGGCCUACCAAGGCGACGACGGGUAGCCGGCCUGAGAGGGUGAUCGGGGGAAUUGGGACGGAGAGAGGGCCCAGACGCGUGCGGGAGGGAGCAGGGGGGGAUAGUGGAAAAGGGGCGGAAGUCUGAUGCAGCAACGCCGGGUGGGGGGUGGCGGGCGUCGGGUUGUAAGACGAUGUCGCUCAGGAAGAAGAUGUGUGGGACGGUAGUGGGUAAAGAAGCACCGGCUAAAUACGUG